Molecule: long non-coding RNA, 442 nt
Organism: Hyla sarda
Lineage: Eukaryota; Metazoa; Chordata; Amphibia; Anura; Hylidae
Exons: 3
Source: RefSeq, a predicted model, not a curated record
ACUGAUGACGUACAUGCCCUUAUAAGGGCAUGCUUCCUCAGCGAAAGGAAAACCCUUCGCUGGAGGCGUGUGUGUGAGCUCGGCUGUGUGUGUGUUUUUUUUUUUUUUUUUUUAACUCUGCUCUUUCCAGAAUGGAACGGAAACUAUAGCACAGCUCCAUCUAUACGUUUCAUUACUGUAACUGGGUCAUGUGAUCACCAGCCUGACCCAAAGAAAACCACAGUGUUUAAUAUGUCUGUCCUGGAUCAGCUUUUCAUGUGAUCUAAAGGAUGACAUCAUCACCCACCUAUAAGUUCUCUCCUGGCUGCUCACAGACUCCUCCCCACCCAGAACUGUAUACUGCUGCUGCUAUCUCUGUAAGAUCAUGUUCCAGCAAUCUCCUCCUUAUCAUCACUCCUGUGUGUAGAAAAUUAGGCUAUUAGAAGAGCGACCAUUGCCGGCA